GAUGAACGCUGGCGGCGUGCCUAAUACAUGCAAGUCGAGCGAACAGACGAGGAGCUUGCUCCUCUGACGUUAGCGGCGGACGGGCGAGUAACACGUGGAUAACCUACCUAUAAGACUGGGAUAACUUCGGGAAACCGGAGCUAAUACCGGAUAAUAUAUUGAACCGCAUGGUUCAAUAGUGAAAGACGGUUUUGCUGUCACUUAUAGAUGGAUCCGCGCCGCAUUAGCCAGUUGGUAAGGUAACGGCUUACCAAGGCGACGAUGCGUAGCCGACCUGAGAGGGUGAUCGGCCACACUGGAACUGAGACACGGUCCAGACUCCUACGGGAGGCAGCAGUAGGGAAUCUUCCGCAAUGGGCGAAAGCCUGACGGAGCAACGCCGCGUGAGUGAUGAAGGUCUUCGGAUCGUAAAACUCUGUUAUUAGGGAAGAACAAAUGUGUAAGUAACUAUGCACGUCUUGACGGUACCUAAUCAGAAAGCCACGGCUAACUACGUG
Molecule: ribosomal RNA, 497 nt
Filed under: uncultured bacterium
Lineage: Bacteria
Description: partial 16S ribosomal RNA
Rfam family: Bacterial small subunit ribosomal RNA
Source: RNAcentral